RNAcentral lists this ribosomal RNA (435 nucleotides) under uncultured Parvibaculum sp. RNAcentral's name for it is "bacterial SSU rRNA". It matches the Rfam family "Bacterial small subunit ribosomal RNA", at positions 8 to 487 of the family's 1533-position model. Lineage: Bacteria; Pseudomonadati; Pseudomonadota; Alphaproteobacteria; Hyphomicrobiales; Parvibaculaceae. The record is from RNAcentral.
AGAGUUUGAUCAUGGCUCAGAACGAACGCUGGCGGCAGGCUUAACACAUGCAAGUCGAACGGGUGUAGCAAUACAUCAGUGGCAGACGGGUGAGUAACACGUGGGAACCUUCCUAGGGGUACGGAACAACUCAGGGAAACUUGAGCUAAUACCGUAUACGUCCGUGAGGAGAAAGAUUUAUCGCCCUUAGACGGGCCCGCGUCGGAUUAGGUAGUUGGUGGGGUAACGGCCUACCAAGCCUACGAUCCGUAGCUGAUCUGAGAGGAUGAUCAGCCACACUGGGACUGAGACACGGCCCAGACUCCUACGGGAGGCAGCAGUGGGGAAUCUUGGACAAUGGGCGCAAGCCUGAUCCAGCCAUGCCGCGUGAGUGAAGAAGGCCUUCGGGUUGUAAAGCUCUUUUGCCAGGGACGAUAAUGACGGUACCUAGAAUAG